RNAcentral lists this ribosomal RNA (556 nucleotides) under uncultured bacterium. Its description in RNAcentral is "partial 16S ribosomal RNA". It matches the Rfam family "Bacterial small subunit ribosomal RNA", at positions 355 to 905 of the family's 1533-position model. The record is from RNAcentral.
CUAAGAAUAUUCCGCAAUGGACGGAAGUCUGACGGAGCGACGCCGCGUGGAUGACGAAGGCCGAAAGGUUGUAAAGUUCUUUUGCUGGGGAAGAAUAACCGCAGGAGGGAAUGCCUGUGGGAUGACAAGAACCGGCGAAUAAGCCCCGGCCAACUACGUGCCAGCAGCCGCGGUAACACGUAGGGGGCGAGCGUUGUUCGGAAUUACUGGGCGUAAAGGGCAUGUAGGCGGCUUGGAAAGCCUGGCGUGAAAGUCUGCAGCUUAACUGCAGGGGUGCGCUGGGAACUGCUGAGCUUGAGUGACGGAGAGGGAGCUGGAAUUCCUGGUGUAGGGGUGAAAUCUGUAGAUAUCAGGAAGAACACCGAUGGCGAAGGCAAGCUCCUGGCCGAUGACUGACGCUGAGGUGCGAAAGUGUGGGGAUCAAAACAGGAUUAGAUACCCUGGUAGUCCACACAGUCAACGAUGUGCACUAGGUGCUGGGGCGGUAGCUUCGGUGCCGGAGCGAACGUGGUAAGUGCACCGCCUGGGGAGUAUGCUCGCAAGGGUGAAACUCAAA